This is a non-coding RNA of Mycena epipterygia, 100 nucleotides long. NCBI's taxonomy places the organism in Eukaryota, Fungi, Basidiomycota, Agaricomycetes, Agaricales, Mycenaceae. The record is from the annotation of a GenBank genome assembly.
GGCCGUCUAGUUCAGUUGGUUAGAGCGUCGUGCUAAUAUCAUAUACAUGAUCGCCCUAUAUAUUACGCGAAGGUCUUGGGUUCGACCCCCACGAUGGCCA